GGCGCAAGCCUGAUGCAGCGACGCCGCGUGGGGGAUGACGGCCUUCGGGUUGUAAACCUCUUUCAGCACAGACGAAGCGCAAGUGACGGUAUGUGCAGAAGAAGCACCGGCCAACUACGUGCCAGCAGCCGCGGUAAUACGUAGGGUGCGAGCGUUGUCCGGAAUUACUGGGCGUAAAGAGCUCGUAGGUGGUUUGUCGCGUUGUUCGUGAAAACUCACAGCUUAACUGUGGGCGUGCGGGCGAUACGGGCAGACUGGAGUACUGCAGGGGAGACUGGAAUUCCUGGUGUAGCGGUGGAAUGCGCAGAUAUCAGGAGGAACACCGGUGGCGAAGGCGGGUCUCUGGGCAGUAACUGACGCUGAGGAGCGAAAGCGUGGGGAGCGAACAGGAUUAGAUACCCUGGUAGUCCACGCCGUAAACGGUGGGUACUAGGUGUGGGUUUCCUUCCUUGGGAUCCGUGCCGUAGCUAACGCAUUAAGUACCCCGCCUGG
Molecule: ribosomal RNA, 492 nt
Filed under: uncultured Mycobacterium sp.
Lineage: Bacteria; Bacillati; Actinomycetota; Actinomycetes; Mycobacteriales; Mycobacteriaceae
Description: bacterial SSU rRNA
Rfam family: Bacterial small subunit ribosomal RNA
Source: RNAcentral